This is a non-coding RNA of Triticum aestivum (bread wheat), 115 nucleotides long. The record is from Rfam. Lineage: Eukaryota; Viridiplantae; Streptophyta; Magnoliopsida; Poales; Poaceae.
UUACUACUCCCUCCGUUCGAAAUUACUCGUCUCGGAAAUGGAUGUAUCUAGAACUAAAAUACGUCUAGAUACAUCCAUUUCUGCGACAAGUAAUUCCGAACAGAGAGAGUAAAUG